Long non-coding RNA from Xenia sp. Carnegie-2017, 784 nucleotides. RefSeq lists it as uncharacterized. NCBI's taxonomy places the organism in Eukaryota, Metazoa, Cnidaria, Anthozoa, Malacalcyonacea, Xeniidae. The transcript has 4 exons. The record is from RefSeq and is a predicted model, not a curated record.
UGCUUGUGAUUACGUAGAUGUUAAUGUUCCAACUUUUGCUUAUUGUUUUUCUUUAACACUUUAUUGACACUUGACACAACAUUCAAAAAUAGAUAUAUUCUAUUCAAACAGUUCAUGAAAAAAAUUAUUGCUUUGUUCAGACAGUUGGAUUGGCUGGAUUUGAACAGGACGUUCUAUACGAGAAGGGAUUACGUUGGUUUUAUUCAGUUAUUUUGGGGAUGAUUGACGUAUUAUCAGUGUACCGUAUGUCAAGAAGCAUCCUAUGGUGAUACAGCAUUCGUUCUCCGCAAGAAUAUUUCUCUCCACAUAUCUGUUGUAAAAGAGUGAAAGACAAAUAAUAUUUUAAAGAACAUAUAAAGUUUUUUUUGAAAGCUGAAACAAGCAAUAUCGUUAAAAUGGAUAAAGUUCAAGAACUUUCUGAAGCACUGCCUUUACCAAGUCAGCCAUUCUUAAACGUCGAAGUAAAUGAAUGCAAAGAAAGUUGAGUGAGUCUGUGUUAGUGAAACCAUGCUACAGGUGAAACUAGGUAAUGAACAAAUCAUGUUUUUGUUUUGUAAAGAAACUUGAAUAAUUUUAAUAUGUUACUAGAUUGACGUCACUGGUCAUAUGUUGUGCUUCAACAGACUCACUUCUUCAAAUACCACUGUGCUGUCAAAACGUGAACAAAACCAUUUAUUCAAUUUAAUAAUAAGCAUUAACAUCUUAAUAGUAUUUACCACUUUAUUUUAGCACUAUCCCAGAGUAUAGAAUUAUAAAGCUUGUCAAAGACUUUCUUAUCAACAUG